This is a long non-coding RNA of Nothobranchius furzeri (turquoise killifish), 2093 nucleotides long. RefSeq lists it as uncharacterized. Lineage: Eukaryota; Metazoa; Chordata; Actinopteri; Cyprinodontiformes; Nothobranchiidae. The record is from RefSeq and is a predicted model, not a curated record.
UCCAACGAGUGCCAGGAAAUUACCGAGUCUCGCUUUGAGUUUUCUGAACAGCUUAUUGUAUGAUCUAAUGCAGACACAUUUUACGGGCAUAGCAAAGUAUUGAUUUUGCUCAUUGUGAAUUAUGUGAAUAUAUAAAAGUGUGAGGGUGCAUAUAUAUUAGGUAAUUAUAUGCUGAAGUGCUAAUGUAAAAAUUCUGCUGAAUAAAUAUGAAAUAAUGCUGCUAUCAGCAUCCAGCGUGUGUCCCUAAAACCAGUCAUUUGAGAUGAUAAUUGGGGUACAAUGUUUGCCUUUAUCUGAUGACAUGGACCAUUGUGAUUGCACUCUACAGCCUCAAUUUAAAUGUGUAUUGAUCAGAGUUGGGCUCAGGAGCUCAAAUCAAAACACCACUGCAGCCCUGCACACUUGUAUAAACUCAUUGUUUUGCACAUCAUAUUUUUAGAGGAAUCUUCGCCUCCUUUGACACAAAUCAUCAAAUAGUUUGUAACUUUGUUCAUUUGCUUUUAUUCACACACUAUUUCCCCCCUAGUAGUGGGCUAAUGUCAUGAUUUAAAUGAAGUAUUGAUCAGUUUAGGAGGGGAGAACAGAGAGAGAGGGAGUGAUUGUGAGAGAAAGAAAGCUAGACCAGGGUUAUCGGCGUGGAUCGCACACAAGAAAGAGGGUGCUAACGGAUGAGACGCGUUUUAGGCGAUUGGGCGAAAUGGAUUUCUGCAUAAAAUGUAUUUUUCAUUUAGGGAGAAACAGCUUGGCUUCUUUGUUCGACAUGUUCCAUGAGGCAAAGAUGGACACCGAGGCUACAAUAGUGCUUUGAGCACAUCAGAAUUUUUUCUUCACGUUUCUUGUUGGUUUUGCGGAGUACUUAGCCCAGCCUACAUCCUGAUGGUUAAAAAGAGAUUUUCCUUGAUCCUGUCUUUGGGUCCGUCUUGUCUCGUCGUGAUUCCUUCGACACCAGUGACACUGCAGCAGCAUCAGGCACUCUGGACUAAAGCCGGUGUCCAACUGAACCAGGAGCUAGUGGUUGGGCAUCCUGAAGCAAAAAUCUCUCAGUCGCCGCCUGACCUGCUGGAGAGCUGAUUGGAUCUCGAGAGGACCAGGAACACAUUGCUUCAGAGCCCGGCUCAGCAGGCCCAGGAGCUCCAGGUUCAGGUUCAAGACUAGGAUGUGUAUUACAGAAGGAAGCAAAGAGCAAAGCGCCAAAAGUAUAAGAGCCCAGGCAGGAUUCAGGAUGAGCGUCUGUAAUUUCUCCAGCCGGCCGUUCGUCUUGAUCGCCCUCUGUUCUCCAUCAGUCUUCACCUUCUGAUCGGGACAUUUUGGUCCAGCACAACCCAUUCCAGCUCAACCUGAACAGCAGCGCCCUCGCCUUUGGGCCUCAGUUACACACCUCAGAAUGGAUCUUUAUUUACAGCACAGAACUCGGAAACAGCUGGUCAAUCCAUUUAGCCUAAGGCCACUGAUUUGUUCGUAUUUACUACAACAGCCAGAGAAAAGCCAGGGUAUUUUUUCCUCUCUCCUUCCUAUUGAUCCGGCGCUUAGAAAUUCUGCCCCGCUGUCUAAACACUAUUGAUCCCCCCCUCUCAACGACAGGCUCUCGCACCAGUGUAUAAAGGGACUGGAUGAAUUGAAAUUUCAUUUCCGACAACUUGUUCCUGUUAUUUUUACCCUUUUUUUCAAUAGUUGGGAACAAGGGCUGGCGGGCCACUACUCAGAGAGUCAAUACAUGUUUGGCUCAGGAGGGGAGACGAGGGAUACAGGUGAGACUGUUUAGCUCGCUCUCAGCAGAUCUCAAUAACAAUAUGCCAUCAACAGGUUUUCUGUCACUUGAAUUCCUGCAUUUUUGUUUAGAAACCUGGUUGGAGAUGUUGGUCAGGCUGAAUAUGGGUAGUUGGUUAUUUCUUCUGACAGCUUCAUUAAAGAGCAGCUGGCUGGAAGCCAUGCAGCAGGUGGUCCCAAAACAUAAACUGUAUAAAAUCCAGAGCAUGUACUAGAUGAGAAAAUGUAGAAGACAUUUUUGUUUUGUAUUGAAAAAAAAAAUAUGUGCACUAAAAUAAGUCUUGUCAUGGACAGCGGGUUUCUCAGAAUCGGCUUUGGACAGUCUG